AAGUCGUAACAAGGUUUCCGUAGGUGAACCUGCGGAAGGAUCAUUACAGAGUUCUUGCCCUUCGGGGUAGAUCUCCCACCCUUGUGUAUCAUUAUCAAAUGUUGCUUUGGCGGACCGCGAGCCUGGCUCGCCUGGACUCCGGUCCAGCGUGUCCGCCAGAGGAUCCUAAACUCUGAAUGUUAGUGUCGUCUGAGUACUAUUAAAUAGUUAAAA
Molecule: unclassified non-coding RNA, 213 nt
Filed under: plant metagenome
Description: partial contains small subunit ribosomal RNA and internal transcribed spacer 1
Rfam family: Eukaryotic small subunit ribosomal RNA (bases 1-46)
Source: RNAcentral